Molecule: transfer RNA, 59 nt
Filed under: Caudoviricetes sp.
Lineage: Duplodnaviria; Heunggongvirae; Uroviricota; Caudoviricetes
Description: tRNA-OTHER
Rfam family: tRNA
About the family: Transfer RNA (tRNA) molecules are approximately 80 nucleotides in length. Their secondary structure includes four short double-helical elements and three loops (D, anti-codon, and T loops).
Source: RNAcentral
AGCGGAGUGGCACAGAUGGCUACUGCUUUAGUUCGCGGGUUCGAGUCCCGCCUCCGCUC